CAAUCAGCCCUUUUCAGGGCCAAUAAAUGUGUACAAAAAAGUUAUUU
Non-coding RNA from Aedes aegypti (yellow fever mosquito), 47 nucleotides. The record is from Rfam. Lineage: Eukaryota; Metazoa; Arthropoda; Insecta; Diptera; Culicidae.